CAAACUAUGGGAAGGAAUGAAAAGCCAAUGUUUCAGGCAGAGACCCCUCAUCAGGACUUAAGAUGUUGCCUUCAUGCGUCUAACAUUUUCUUUACUUUGGAUUGCUUGGCAUGUGUUUUGCUUUGGCGAGACACUGAAAAUCGUGAAUGGAUGCAGAAUAUCUAAAAGUUGAAGUUCAAGUUAGAGGGUUCUUUUGAAGACCCGGACCUGGCACCACAUGCUGACUAUGAUUCUUUGCGGGUAUGGGACCUGCUCUCAGGGUUUCAUGAUUGGCCUUUGUUUGGCACACUGGGGUCUUGGCCUAAGAGUCCGGCUCGGCUUUGGAAGCCUAAGAUCUCGGGGCUCUGGAGAUGGGAGGAUCGAGGGUCAGUGUCACGACUGGAGACCCCUGUGUUGUAGGGGGAGUCGGAAUAUCUGCGGCUGUGUGCCCAGAGACUCGUGAUCUUUGGGCACAGAGCUUGAAAAAAGCGACGUGGCGGACUUUUAACAUCGUAAACCAGUGAGCUGUUUGUUAUGUCUACCCACUCACUGAAAACGGAGUCACCUCUUUCUCCUUUAUUAGGGAGAGAAAGAGCCUGUGGUAUGUCGAGUACCGGGUGAAAUGUGAAGAUCUUAGAGUAACUGCAAGUCUAUGCCUUUGCUGUUGCUUUGCUCACACUUGAGUGCUCAGUGGCGGGUGCCCAUGUUUUUAU
This is a long non-coding RNA of Hypanus sabinus (Atlantic stingray), 692 nucleotides long. RefSeq lists it as uncharacterized. The record is from RefSeq and is a predicted model, not a curated record. NCBI's taxonomy places the organism in Eukaryota, Metazoa, Chordata, Chondrichthyes, Myliobatiformes, Dasyatidae. The transcript has 3 exons.